GACGAACGCUGGCGGCGUGCUUAACACAUGCAAGUCGAACGCUGAAGCUCAGCUUUUGUUGGGUGGAUGAGUGGCGAACGGGUGAGUAACACGUGAGUAACCUGCCCCCUUCUUUGGGAUAACGCCCGGAAACGGGUGCUAAUACUGGAUAUUCACUGGUCUUCGCAUGGGGGUUGGUGGAAAGGGUUUUUCUGGUGGGGGAUGGGCUCGCGGCCUAUCAGCUUGUUGGUGGGGUGAUGGCCUACCAAGGCUUUGACGGGUAGCCGGCCUGAGAGGGUGACCGGUCACAUUGGGACUGGGAUACGGCCCAGACUCCUACGGGAGGCAGCAGUGGGGAAUAUUGCACAAUGGGCGCAAGCCUGAUGCAGCGACGCCGCGUGAGGGAUGGAGGCCUUCGGGUUGUGAACCUCUUUCGCUCAUGGUCAAGCCGCAACAAUGGUUGUGGUGAGGGUAGUGGGUAAAGAAGCGCCGGCUAACUACGUG
Molecule: ribosomal RNA, 483 nt
Filed under: uncultured bacterium
Lineage: Bacteria
Description: partial 16S ribosomal RNA
Rfam family: Bacterial small subunit ribosomal RNA
Source: RNAcentral